GGCUUACCGCCUUCGCGCGACACAGCAGCGAGAACCCUGAAACCUGACUGCGUUCCUUGUUGCUUCUCUGUCGGUUUCCAGGAGGGCGCACGGGCUGGAGAGCAGCGCCGGGCAGCCACACAGCGGGGGAAGCGAGGGCACCGCAGACCCGCUAUCCAGGCCAGCAGGCACUCCUUGCCUCUCCUACGGCCACGCGGUGCUACCCAACAGAACCACCGCUCUCCCCCCGGGAGCCAGCCCCAAACCAGCACGUUCCCUCCCUGCGCACCAGCGCACACGGGCAGGCGGGCAGGCAGACACACACCGCGCUCGGCACUCCUAUUUUCCAGCCCGGAUUCACCGCAGCCGUCCGCAGGGGCGCAGCCCGUAUUUCGCAGCCGCCGCGCGCACAGCGCUGACGACCCGACGAAGUCACGAGCUCCGAGAGAGGAGCCGGGAAGCGGCCAUCUCAGGGCGCCGCCUCAUCCCGGCCGCCCCGGGGCCGCCUCCCCCGGCCCGGCGCCCCGCUCCGCUCCCCGGACCCGCGGCCGCGCGGCGGUCGCCCGUGGCGGGGGCGGCCGGAGGGGUCCGGCGCGGCCGCCCCUCUCUCCCCCCGCACACCUGGAGGAAAGCCGCUCCGCCGCCGCCCCUCCGCCCCCGGGCGCUGCCCCGCACCGCCUCGGCCCCAACAUGGCCCCGGCGCGGCGGGAGCGGACGGCGCGGCCGCCCCGGCGGCUCCGACACUCACCCUCUCGCUCGCGAGCUCGGUGCGGGCCGCCCGGAGGCGGCGGGACCGCGGCCGGCCGAGGCGCUGCGGGAGAAGGAGGCGGCGGCGCGGAGCUCCGGCACCGGGCGCGUCGGUCGGGCAACGUGCGGCAUCAGUCAUCGGCGCGGGGCGGGCCGGCGGCGCGCGGCACUCUGGGGGCUGCAGUCCGCCGGCGCUUCCGGCCCCGCGGCGGGCGGCGGACUGCGGCUGCCACGGAGCGGCUCCGCUCGGGCUCCGCCGGGAUGAGCGCCGCGCGGCCGCGGUUCCGGGCAGCUCUGUCGGAGCUCGUUCCCGUGCGGGGCUCCGGCCGCGGCUCCUGCGCUGCUCCGCCGCGCUGGUCCGUCCGGCACCCUGUGAGCGGGGCCCGCCGCUGGGGGGAGGCACGCGUGGUGACGGGCGUCGCUCCCCUGGAGCCGCGCGGCUGCCCGCUCCCAUCCCGUCUCUGCCCCGGCUGCUGCCGUGCGGGGUGGGCGCGGCCCUUCCGCGUGGGACUGCGGGGUGAAGCGCGGUGA
Molecule: long non-coding RNA, 1257 nt
Filed under: Phasianus colchicus (ring-necked pheasant)
Lineage: Eukaryota; Metazoa; Chordata; Aves; Galliformes; Phasianidae
Description: lncRNA (ENSPCLG00000000847.1)
Source: RNAcentral